UUAUGACAUUGACUGAGCUGCUUAGUAGCAGAGGGUCUGGACCAGCCAGACUAUUGGUAAUGUUGGUAUAUAUUAUGUAAAAUGGCAUCGGGUUUGCUAAACUUUCAAUGCUUUUUAUUUUUACAGGAAGAGAAAGAAAGAAUCUAUCAAGAGUGGAUCACGUGAUAUUAGUCCUCUUUGGUAAAGGAGGAGCUGGUAAGAGUACAGUCCUCGUCCACACGUCAAGGAGGAGGGGAUUCCCUUUGAAACUACUUUCAGACAAUACCAAGAGCUUUAAUCACCCUCUCACUUGAUCAUUGGACUUCGAGUAAUGAAUUUACCUUCAGUGGAAUCUGAUGAUAGUUUAGAGGAAGAAUUCAAGAUCACUAAUGAGGAGUUACAUGAUAGAAUGAAGUAUUUUCAUGUCUUACUCAGUCACUUCUGGAAGAGAUGGCACAACUCAUCGGCAACAAUAUUUCCUGCCAAUUUGCCCUGGAACAGUUACCUCAUUAGUAUUAAUAAUGUUACCCCACUUCAAAUAAAGGCUCUCCAGAAACCCUCAGGCUCAAUUUAGGUGUUAUAUUAACUUUGAUGUCCUUGCUCCUGGUCCCUUCCUUGACGUUCACCUCAAUGAACACGCCAUCUAUAGUCUGGGACCAAGAACCCCACAGGAUAGCACAUGGGACAAGACUAGAUUUUUCAUCAAAAUUUAUUAUUAAUAAAUAGCCGUUUUAUUAACUUUAUGGGUGUGUCCAAUCAAUUAAUUAAGUGAUAUUGAUAAUUAAUAGUCUGUGAAAUAAGUGAUAUUAGCAUUUAAGUGAUAUUAGUAUUUAGAGCUCAGCUCAUAAAUAGAACAGUUCAAUAAUUAUA
This is a long non-coding RNA of Amphimedon queenslandica, 849 nucleotides long. RefSeq lists it as uncharacterized. Lineage: Eukaryota; Metazoa; Porifera; Demospongiae; Haplosclerida; Niphatidae. The transcript has 2 exons. The record is from RefSeq and is a predicted model, not a curated record.